This 582-nucleotide long non-coding RNA is filed under the name Cyanistes caeruleus (blue tit). Its description in RNAcentral is "lncRNA (ENSCCEG00000004951.1)". Lineage: Eukaryota; Metazoa; Chordata; Aves; Passeriformes; Paridae. The record is from RNAcentral.
CUAAAUGGCAAUCAAGAUUUGGCCUCAUCUUGCCCGAGUUAAGGGUGGCCAUCCUCUGCCUCAUUUGAAAAAUCACCAUGGAGCAAGCUGGAAUUAAAUAAGUACCAUAACUCUCAUCCCAUAUCUCCUGCACUAGAAGAGGAAAACACUCCAGUGUCAUCACCCCAAGCUGCUGCUCUCCAUAAGAUUCAAAUUCUGUGAGCAGCACCAAGGAGAUCCUGUUUACUUGUGCUUUUAUACAUUGGUUUCAUUUCUGGAGAGUUGGACCCAUGUUUCUGACAGCAAACAGAGUUCAAACAUAACCCAGGCCCCUCAACAGAGUUUUCCAUCCACCUGUGGAUUUUCACCAGGGGCUGAAGGCAAUUAGCUGCCAGUGCCCAUAUUUCAGCUAAUGGUGAAUUGUCCUUCCCUUUGGCUGUAGUACAAAACCUGAAGUCUGGUUUUUCCCCACUCACUGCCCAGGUAUAGAAGAGCCAAUGAAUGUGUGUAGCUGAGGCAGGAGUCGCUAGCAGCUCACUUCACACAGCUCUGCAGAGCACAGAUUCCUGGUCUAGUUCAUCCACUUCCUCUCAAACAUUCUUC